CAGUAGCCACGGUAAAACGAAGGGGGCUAGCGUUGUUCGGAUUUACUGGGCGUAAAGGGCGCGUAGGCGGACUGGUAAGUCAGGGGUGAAAUCCCAAGGCUCAACCUUGGAACUGCCUUUGAUACUGUUUGUCUUGAGUUCGAGAGAGGUAAGUGGAACUGCGAGUGUAGAGGUGAAAUUCGUAGAUAUUCGCAAGAACACCAGUGGCGAAGGCGACUCUCUGGUCUGUAACUGACGCUGAGGAGCGAAAGCGUGGGGAGCGAACAGGAUUAGAGACCCCAGUAGUCCCUGUCUCUUAUAC
RNAcentral lists this ribosomal RNA (301 nucleotides) under uncultured bacterium. Its description in RNAcentral is "partial 16S ribosomal RNA". It matches the Rfam family "Bacterial small subunit ribosomal RNA", at positions 509 to 807 of the family's 1533-position model. The record is from RNAcentral.